This 209-nucleotide unclassified non-coding RNA is filed under the name Hevea brasiliensis (rubber tree). The record is from RNAcentral. Lineage: Eukaryota; Viridiplantae; Streptophyta; Magnoliopsida; Malpighiales; Euphorbiaceae.
CUGAUUCUCUAUAAAUUCUGGUUUAUUUUAAGUUGGUGAUCUUAUCAGAGUCGAGUUACUGAGAAUUGGGAGCUGUCUGUGCUUGGGUUUGAGAAGAACAUCGACGAAAGGAAAUGUGGGGAUUUGGGGGGAGGUAUUAUUGGGGGAGAAGGGAAAGGAAAAGGGUAGGGAUAGUGGUGAUAUUUGCUUGGAUGUCGAGCCAAGAGAAG